GACGAACGCUGGCGGCGUGCUUAACACAUGCAAGUCGAACGGUGAAGCGCCUUCCUUUUUGGUGGGUGUGGAUGAGUGGCGAACGGGUGAGUAACACGUGAGUAACCUGCCCCCUUCUUCUGGAUAACCGCAUGAAAGUGUGGCUAAUACGGGAUAUUCUGGGUCUGUCGCAUGAUGGGUCUGGGAAAGAUAUUGUUUCGGUGGGGGAUGGGCUCGCGGCCUAUCAGCUUGUUGGUGGGGUGAUGGCCUACCAAGGCGGUGACGGGUAGCCGGCCUGAGAGGGUGGACGGUCACACUGGGGAUGAGACACGGCCCAGCCUCCUACGGGAGGCAGCAGUGGGGAAUAUUGCACAAUGGGCGCAAGCCUGAUGCAGCGACGCCGCGUGAGGGAUGGAGGCCUUCGGGUUGUGAACCUCUUUCGCCAGUGAAGCAGGCCUGCCUCGUUUGUGGGUGGGUUGACGGUAGCUGGAUAAGAAGCGCCGGCUAACUACGUG
Molecule: ribosomal RNA, 494 nt
Filed under: uncultured bacterium
Lineage: Bacteria
Description: partial 16S ribosomal RNA
Rfam family: Bacterial small subunit ribosomal RNA
Source: RNAcentral